Molecule: long non-coding RNA, 363 nt
Filed under: Capra hircus (goat)
Lineage: Eukaryota; Metazoa; Chordata; Mammalia; Artiodactyla; Bovidae
Description: lncRNA (ENSCHIG00000004569.1)
Source: RNAcentral
AUUUGUGCGGAUGCGGAUGUCUGCUCACUGGCUCCCUCCACACCAAAGCACAGUGCCCUGCAGGAGCCCCGAGGGGAGGAGUGCGUGCUGCAGAGGAGGACCAGUUCCGUAUGUUUUUCUGAGAACUUUGCAGGAGAAGUCAAUGCUUAGCUCUGAAGGGCGGACCUGGAAAGGCCUUGAAGGUGGAGAAAGAAAAGCAGAGGACACAGUGGCCUAAGACUUGGCCCAGGCAGCUGCGAGCUGUUCACAGCACUGUGUUAGGGAAGGAACAACCGCAGGUGGAGAAGUGGACAAACCCGUGCGCUGGCUGGGAAGUGGUUAGGCUCUGCGUUCAAACUGCCUGGCUUUGAAGCCACACUUGGC